CUCAUCACAAAGUGACACUUCUACAAAACUGUUCACAACUAGAAUCCAGUGCCACCAUUGGAUUCAUUGGGUUCUCCUACCCCAAAACCAUAUAUAACACUGUUGUAUGCGUGCGGAAAAACACCAGAAACGACAAAGGAAAAACUACACAAGAUCAAACUGCGCUAAUAACAAGAACAAGGGAUGUUCUUGACAUGCGAGAGUUGGCAUACUCCUCUUCUGGAAUAUUCCAGAUUUGGAAAAAAAUAAAUACAACACAACACUAAACAAACAAAAUCAUAUAAACAUCAUGGGGGUCCCACUGGUCAUACUCACCAAGGCCCCUAAUGGGUGUAUGCAAGUGGGCCAUGCCCCCACAACACACACACCCCUACUGCUGCACCACACACACAAGCAUUGUGCUCACACACACACCUAAAAGAAAAUAAAAUGGGGGUAGGGGGAAUUGAACCCUGAACCGAGGGUACCCUAUGUACAACUCCACAACACUAUGGGGACUUAACAAAGCUAUAAACUAACUCUACUCUAGUGCAACAGCAACAAGGGAAAACGAAAUAAACAAAAGGGGGCGCCGAUGGGAUUUGAUCCUUGGUCCUCAUGGUUGCUACCCUGAGCGCGCUGACUCUACUCUACUGCAACAGCAACACGGGAAAAACGAAAUAAACAAAAGGGGCGCCGAUGGGAUUUGAUCCCUGGUCCUCAUGGUUGCUACCCUGAGCGCGCUGACUAGCUGGGCUAUGGCCGACUUUGAUACACAAUCGAGAACGGCGCUAGAUGUAGCGUGUGCAACAUGAAACUACCACAAACAAAAUAAAAUAGGGGUGCCUGGGACUCGAACCAAGGAUCUCAUGGCAACGAGCGAGCGCAAUAACCAGCUGAUCUAUGAAGCAGCUAUGAUUUAAACUAGGUUUCGCAAGAGAAGAAGAUACACUGACGCUAACUGAAUAAAAACAAGAAAACGCACACAUCUGAAUCUGAACCUAUACCGGGUCACCUUGGCUGUGCUCGCCACGACGCUUGAGGAAGGCAGCCUAGGCGGCGGCUGCACGCGGAGACUCGUGUGGAGGUGCAUGUCUAGCAGGUGGUCGCCGGCGGCGGCUGGUGCGGCAAGGCUCCGGCGGACUGUGGCGCGGACACAGCGGCAACCUAUCACGGAGGAGGCGUGGACAAGGACGCGAGCUCCUUGGUGCGUGACGAGCAGGAUGGCGCGGGGCACGGCCUGGUGGCUGCGACGGUGCGGCUAGGCGACGGGUGAGGUCGGGGCGGCACGAGGUUGGGGAUCCGGCUGGGGGGGCUCCGACGGCUGCUGGUGUUCGAUCGGAGGUGGCUUGCAUUCCAGCUGUACAAAGCGAGAGAGCCAUGUGAGAAGGGGAGGAAGAAGAGAUACACAUGAGAUGGAGGAAGAGACCGAUGGCAUCUCACCUAUGGUGGUGCUUCGGCGGAGGCAGCACGGCUUCGGGCAGACCCGACGGAGCUGGGCAGCUCGUGGUCAAGCAACAGGAGGGAACAAGGGAGUGACGGCUCCUGUUCAUGGCUUCGGGAUAGAGCUCCUAUGGUUCUGCAACAGCACGAGAAGGAGAGAGAGAUUAGAGAAGAGGAGAAGAAAAGAGAGAGGAAGAAGAGAGGGACGGCGCAGGGUCAUGGCCUGGACGGGCGGCAACGCUCCUGUUGCCGGCGACGAGGCCCUCGGGGCGGCGCGACCGCGGAGGGCACGAGGGGCGGCUUGGGUCUCGUUCUGGCGAGAUAGAUCGGCUCUGUCUGUGGGGCUUCUUCUCUUGGAUGCAUACGCUCGGCUCAGGUUGGUCCGGUGGGGAAAGCGAGGAGUGGCGGCAGGCGACGGGGCAAG
RNAcentral lists this long non-coding RNA (1846 nucleotides) under Hordeum vulgare. RNAcentral's name for it is "long non-coding RNA (HVUL_LNC000420)". The record is from RNAcentral. Lineage: Eukaryota; Viridiplantae; Streptophyta; Magnoliopsida; Poales; Poaceae.